GACAAUCGCUGGCUAUGAAUUAGGUAGUUAGAGGAAAGUCCAUGCUCGCACAAUCUGAGAUGAUUGUAGUGUUUGUGCUAGACUAAAAAAUAAGUCUAGGUAGUGUAAACUAACGGCUGAUUAACUCCUAAGGGUAACUAUGGAGAGCGUCUUUAAAAGUGCCACAGAGACGAGCUAUUGUAGAAAUACAGUAGGUGGAACGGGUAAACCCCACAAGCGAGAAACCCAAAUUUGGUAGGGGAACUUUUGACGGUGAAAUGAAACUGGAUAAGGACGUGUAAUGCGUAGAUAAAUGAUUGUCACUUCCUUUAGGAAGUACAAAACAUGGCUUAUAU
Molecule: RNase P RNA, 335 nt
Filed under: uncultured Breznakia sp.
Lineage: Bacteria; Bacillati; Bacillota; Erysipelotrichia; Erysipelotrichales; Erysipelotrichaceae
Description: Bacterial RNase P class B
Rfam family: Bacterial RNase P class B
About the family: Ribonuclease P (RNase P) is a ubiquitous endoribonuclease, found in archaea, bacteria and eukarya as well as chloroplasts and mitochondria. Its best characterised activity is the generation of mature 5'-ends of tRNAs by cleaving the 5'-leader elements of precursor-tRNAs.
Source: RNAcentral